CCAUAUAUUCUUUUUCCAAAGGUGUCUGAGCUACACAGGACUGGAAAUCUAACCAGUGUCUCAGAAUUCUUCCUCCUGGGCCUCUCAGAUGAUCCAGAACUGCAGCCUUUGCUCUGGGUCCUGUUCCUGGCCAUGUACCUGGUCACCAUGCUGGGGAACCUGCUCAUCAUCUUGGUUGUCACUUCUGACCCCCACCUCCAUAACCCCAUGUACUUCUUCCUCUCCAACCUCUCCUUGGCUGACAUCGGUUUUGUCUCCACCACGGUCCCCAAGAUGAUUGUGAACAUCCAGACUCACAGCAGAGUCAUCUCCUAUGCAGGCUGCCUGACACAGAUGUCUAUUUUUAUCCUUUUUGGAUGUAUGGAUUGUCUGCUUCUGUCUGUGAUGGCCUAUGACAGGUUUGUGGCCAUCUGUCACCCACUACACUACACGGUUAUCAUGAACCCUCGCCUCUGCUGCUCCUUAGUUUUGGUGUCUUUUUUUCUUAGCCUUUUGGACUCCCAGGUGCACAAUCUGAUUGUGCUACAACUUACCUACUUUGAGAAUGUUGACAUUUCUAAUUUCUUCUGUGAGCCUUCUCAGCUCCUCAAGCUUGCCUGUUCUGAUCCUUUCACCAAUAACAUAGUCACGUAUUUUGAUGGUGCCAUUUUUGCUUUUCUACCUUUCUUGGGAAUCUUUUUCUCUUACUACAAAAUUCUUUCCUCCAUUCUGAGAAUCACAUCAGGUAGGAGGUAUAAAGCCUUCUCCACCUGUGGUUCUCAUCUGGCAGUUGUUUGUUUAUUUUAUGGAACCGGCCUUGGUGUGUACCUCAACUCAACCAUCUCAGAAUCUCCCAGGAAGGGUGCAUUGGCCUCAGUGAUGUAUACUGUGGUCACCCCCAUGCUGAACCCCUUCAUCUACAGUCUGAGGAACAGACACAUCAAAAGGACCAUGUGGAGGUUUUCCAGCAAAAUGUUCUAGUCUCAUUAUCUGUGUCACCCAUUUGGAGUGUAGGUUGGAAAAUGUAGCAACAUUUACAUCUGAAAAUUCUACCUCUCUCAUGACAUCAUUUUUAUAGCUCUUGGGGCCUUCUUGUCUCUCCUUGUUUUACACCUGAAUAUUACUUCUUUUGAUAUG
This is a non-coding RNA of Odocoileus virginianus texanus, 1116 nucleotides long. The record is from RefSeq and is a predicted model, not a curated record. Lineage: Eukaryota; Metazoa; Chordata; Mammalia; Artiodactyla; Cervidae.